RNAcentral lists this ribosomal RNA (445 nucleotides) under uncultured bacterium. RNAcentral's name for it is "bacterial SSU rRNA". It matches the Rfam family "Bacterial small subunit ribosomal RNA", at positions 330 to 792 of the family's 1533-position model. The record is from RNAcentral.
UCCAGACUCCUACGGGAGGCAGCAGUGGGGGAUAUUGCACAAUGGGGGAAACCCUGAUGCAGCGACGCCGCGUGUGGGAAGACGGUCUUCUGGAUUGUAAACCACUGUCCCCAUGGACGAAAAUGACGGUACCUGUUUAUUAAGCUCCGUCUAACUACGUGCCAGCAGCCGCGGUAAUACGUAUGGAGCGAUCUUUGUCCGGAAUUACUGGGUGUAAAGGGAGCGUAGGCGGGGAUGCAAGUUGGGUGUCAAAACUACUGGCUCAACUGGUAGUCGCACUCAAAACUGCAGCUCUUGAGUGAAGUAGAGGCAGGCGGAAUUCCUAGUGUAGCGGUGAAAUGCGUAGAUAUUAGGAGGAACACCAGUGGCGAAGGCGGCCUGCUGGGCUUUUACUGACGCUGAGGCUCGAAAGUGUGGGGAGCAAACAGGAUUAGAUACCCGCGUA